This 400-nucleotide ribosomal RNA is filed under the name uncultured bacterium. Its description in RNAcentral is "bacterial SSU rRNA". It matches the Rfam family "Bacterial small subunit ribosomal RNA", at positions 355 to 771 of the family's 1533-position model. The record is from RNAcentral.
UGGGGAAUAUUGCGCAAUGGGCGAAAGCCUGACGCAGCAACGCCGCGUGGGUGAUGAAGGUUUUCGGAUCGUAAAGCCCUGUCAGGUGGGACGAGCAAGGACGGUACCACCGAAGGAAGCACCGGCUAACUCCGUGCCAGCAGCCGCGGUAAUACGGAGGGUGCAAACGUUGUUCGGAAUCAUUGGGCGUAAAGCGCACGCAGGCGGUCUGGCAGGUCGGAUGUGAAAUCCCGGGGCUCAACCCCGGAAUUGCGUUCGAAACCUCCAGGCUGGAGUCACAGAGGGAGAGGUGGAAUUCCUGGUGUAGAGGUGAAAUUCGUAGAUAUCAGGAGGAACACCGGUGGCGAAGGCGACCUCUUGGCUGAUGACUGACGCUGAGGUGCGAAAGCGUGGGGAGCAA